Long non-coding RNA from Medicago truncatula (barrel medic), 1891 nucleotides. RefSeq lists it as uncharacterized. The transcript has 4 exons. The record is from RefSeq and is a predicted model, not a curated record. Lineage: Eukaryota; Viridiplantae; Streptophyta; Magnoliopsida; Fabales; Fabaceae.
AGCAAGGAGACCGUGGAUAUAAAGGUGUCAGAGGUGGAAAUGAUGGUGGUGCAGGUGCUGCUAGUGGCCAUGACAUAGUUCAUUAAUUAAUAUGGCAGCCCCCCGACGUAACCAGCAUCCGAGUCCAUCAGCUCUUGGAUUCUUCUGUUGACCAUCAGAUCUUUUGGCCCCACCGGGUCCAUCAGCUCUCCUCUUCCAAUCUGAGGCAAGUUCAUUCUUAGGGGACUCAUGCCCCUCCUCCACAAAGUAAAUCAUCACUAAGGUUUCCCCUUAUCCUUGGAAAAGGGAGUUAUGACCAGAAGUGUGUUGUUUUGGCAAACCUUUUCUUUUGUCGAGUUACCUGAAAAAGACAAUCAUCAGUAUGAUAAAUAACUUGCUGAUGCUGAUGCAUUUUGAACAUAACAAAAGACACUCCAGUGUUCAAUCAUGUUUAUUUGGAUGAAGUUUCUCUAUCGCUAGUAAAAUGCCCCGUAUGCUAUUUUGACUAGAAGUUUUCGUCCAUUAGGUCGGUUCAAAAGAUUAUGAUGCAAUUACUAUGAUUUGUCCUGUGUGUGAUGAAAGCUUAGGGGAGGAUGCAAUCAGGAUGGUGAAGAACUCAAGCUUCCCAAUCUCACAAAUGUGGAUUUGGAAGCCUCGAAAAAAAAAACGGCAUCUCACAUAUUCAUUGCGCAUUGCAUCAUAAGAAAGAUGCUUCCUGGGAACACAACAAACACGAACCAAUGCCUGAUUCAAUUUCGCCUGCGUUUAGGGACAAUGUGUAUCUUCCAAGCUUGAAUUAUAUUCUCUCAGAUGAAGAAGAUACAAUCAGAAAUGCCUCAGAUGUUGUCGUUGAAAAUGACACAUCCAUUGCAAAAAGGUAUGGUCCUUUGAAGUCUAUAUGUUAUAAUGGUGAUAUGCUGGUAUGAAUAAAAAGAACAAAGUUGGGGAACUCAUAAAUAUAAACUAAACUCAUUAAAGGAACAUGAUUAAAAAUUUAACAUUUUUUCCUUUGCAGUCUUCGCAAAUCUCUUGUUCUUAGAUAUGUUAUAAAUAUAAACUAAACUCAUAAGUGAAUUAGUCUAUCUGAAUUUAAUAUCAUUGUUCUCUUCAUUAAAUUAAAACUGCUUCAUGUGGUAAGGAAAAUUAUGCAGCUGAUGGUGUUAGCAACUUACCAUAGAUUUCCAAAUAUUUUGCUUUUUCGAAUUUUCAUAUAUAUAAUGUUCUUUCCAUUUUAAGGUUACAUUGAAAGAUACGAGAGGUGUGUUAUUAAGGUUACAUUGAAACAUACAAGAGGUGGAUGUAUGUGUGAUAUCAUACCCUCAUUUUCCCAAAAAAAAUUCUUGCAAAAUUAUAUCUUAAAUUUGAUUAAGGGAGUCACAUAUUGCAUGCCAAUACACACAUGUACUGAUACCCACUUCAAUAGCCUGUAUUUGUUGACUUGAGAUACAAAUCUGUUGGUUUCUCUAAAUCUCAUGAUCUAAGUCUAGCUUUGCACUUACCUACUAUGAUUCUAAUUACGAUAUUACUAUAUUGACAGUAUAAAGGAACAUGUAGCAAGAGAUUUACUCAUUAAUUUAUCAUUAUUUUCUUUCUGAAUAUAAAAACUUUCAUUCCAAACCUUGAAUUUUGUAAUGUUCUGUGGCAUUCCCACUAUUGCCAGAUUUUCUCAGGAAUUGCUAGACAGGCAUACAUAUGCGAGAAACUGCUUUAUUAAUUAUAUCUUUAGAUAGUUGUGACGAUGCUUGUAAAAAGAGGCAUUGCGUUUUUUUUUUCUUUUCUUUCUGUUGCAAUACCAACAGAAAAAUAUUUACUUUUUCUUCAUGUGUGAGAUACAGAAAUUAGCUUCUCAGAUUUUAUGAAGGACUAAAAUGAGAUAUUUCCUAUUUGUUCAUUCUUGCUAGUUUAUUUUUUC